Molecule: long non-coding RNA, 3215 nt
Organism: Vidua macroura (Pin-tailed whydah)
Lineage: Eukaryota; Metazoa; Chordata; Aves; Passeriformes; Viduidae
Exons: 3
Source: RefSeq, a predicted model, not a curated record
UCUCCUUCUGCUUCUAGGAUGGUGCAUCGAUUUAGACAACUGGAUGCAAAGCUCUCUGAUUUGAAAGGCCUUCUGAAAGAGAUUUCCAGUAAAAUUAAAUGAGUGCAGCUGAAAUUCAAGAGCAGCUACUGGAGCAGGGUACCAGUUCAUGAAGAAAAAUUGCUCGGAGCUGGCAGUAACCCCCAAGCAGAUGGUAACGGAGGCACCAGAGUAUCAAUGUCUCGGCAGGAGUCAGCAGGAUUUUCUUGCUAUUUUUAUUUUUGUUGAUCAAACAGCCCUUUCUGCUUGUUGCAAGGUUGUGGUGAAACAGGAGAUGAUUGCUUAUCUCCUGACAUGAUUCCUGCAUUCCCCAAACUCUUCUCAUCUGCCCUAAUGUCCACUGGCAGCAAUUAGUCCUUGUAAGCUGCUGUUGCAAAACACUCCUAUUUCCAAGAGUUCUGCUGCUGUUGCCAAAAUCCCUUUGCUUUUACACUUCACUCAAAGGGACCCGUGCAUGGGUUUCCUUCAAGCACUAAUUGCGCGUCUGAAUGAAUCCAUCUCCCUUCCUGUUCUGUCCUGCAGUAGCUGGAUCUUGCUUGUUCCUUGCACGGGCUGUCUGUCAGACCUGCUGGGGUCUGGAAGGCUGGCAUGCCAGAAAGCAAUGGAUUUCAGCAUCAUCCCCCCAAGGAAAGCCUUUGGUCCAGCCCUUCAUCCCUAUUUCAGACUGUACAGGAACAUUGUGGACUUGUUCCCCCUCUACCUGGAGCCUUUCAGCAGUGCAGAAGUUCAGCUAUUACAGCCCUGCAUGGGAGAGACAUUAAUUCAUCUAGGAAAUGUUUCUAAAGGCUUUGUGGGCAAUCCUUGCUUGGUUUCAUUGAUGAAAAUUUGUAUUCUGGGAAUGUUUGAAUUCAUUUGACUUUUCCAAUGUGUGUUUGCUGAUGUUUGCAGCUGGAAAUGGAGAAGAGAUUGUUGGAACCUUUAAAUAGAGCAGUGCUUGAUAUGGUGAGGUGGCGCUUUGUGCUUUCUGUCUAAAAUAGCAGCUGAAUUCUGUCACAUUUUGUUUGGUAUAACUGAGAGCACAGCCAACUGAAAGCACUACAAAUAGCAUUUAUUUACAUGGCAAAGCAUUGUAUCAACCUUCCUUCCCAGUGUCCAGGAAUCAUGGAAUCAUAGACUCACCAGAGGAAAGGACCUGCCAGGAUGAUGGAGUCCAAGCCCUGGCCCUGCACAGACACCCCAACAAUCCCAGCCUGUGCAUCCCUGAGAGCAUUGUUCAAAUGUUCCUUGGGCUCUGUCAGCCUGGGGCUGUGCCCAUUCCCUGGGGGAGUCUGCUCAGUGCCCCAGCACCAUCUGGGAGAAGAACCUUUUCCUAAAAUCCCACCUGACCCUGCCCUGACACAGCUCCAGCUGCUCCCUCAGGUGCUGUCCCUGUCACAGAGAGCAGAGAUUGGAGAUGUCCUCUGGGAGGAAGCUGCCAGCCAUGCUGAGACCUGCUCCCUCUCUUUCCUCCUCUUCUCCAAGCUGACCAAGCCAAUUGACUUUAGCCGUGCCUCAUACAGCUUCCCCUCCUGUCCCCUCAUCAUCUUCAUUCCCCUCUUUGAAUACUCUCUGCAGGCUUUGUAUCCUUAUGAUAUGUUCAGAGAGGUUGCUGCUCUUUUCUCCCUGUAUCUCAUGACCCAGCUGUACUGUAUGCUGUGCAUGACACCAUCCUGGGGGCUCCAGCACUAACAAGAGCAGUGGUAUUUGUUUACAUGUGGAAACAUUUCCUGCUGAAAAGUAAAGGGCUUUCACUGAUUCACACGGCAGUUAGCUUGCACCAUAAAUUCUUGAGAUAAGAUUCCUUUCUGGAAGUUAUUUUUCCCAUAUAAUUUGUCUGCCUUGGAUGUGAAAAUUGUGCUAUUUGUUCACUCCCUUCCUAUAUAAAACCUGUGGAAUCCUUUAAACCCUUCAGGGAAAUCCCAAGGACCCUGCCUUGUAAGAAUAUACCCUAGAGUCUCCACCUAGGCUUAAAGAGAAGACUUCUGCCAUGGAGCCUUGCAACACCAUGAUCCACCCCAGUUCCUUUCCCCAUAUGUCCCAAAUUCUUGUGGUUUUUCCUUUCCCUGUUUCCUCAUUGGUUGUGGUAUCCCUGGUGGCCAGCCCUGUCUUCCCUGUAGGCCAAUGCCAUCAGACCACUGGCCUCUGACCCCUACUUAACCUUGUGCAGAGCACAGGGCCAGGUCUUUGCCCCUGAUCCCUUUGGCAUGGUGGAUGCAAUAAACCUUCGCUGGAAUACAUCAUAAACAGACCCUUCCUGUCUUUCCUCCGCUGAGCUGUGUGUGUGAGUGGAUUUGAAAUGGCUGUUCUUGUGGCCUCACUCAGAGCAGCUUCUGAAGGAGACGCUUCAAAGAAGGCUGCAGCAUUUCUACCACCCUGCCACGUGGCAACAAAAACCUGCUGUGUGGUUCCCGAAGCUCUAGUGAUCUGUUGUUGUGUGAAUGUAGCAGUGAAACCAUGUUCUGUAAGGCCUGAAUUCUGGAGUCAGUCCGUGUCCAGUGCUGCACCCAGGGGCACCAGCCUGUGCCACACACGCUGCUGCAGCCAGAGGCCGCGCGGGCUCUUCUCCAGGCUCCCGUGGGCCCCAGCCGGGUGCCGAUGGAGCCCCGGCCCGGCGGGGCUGCGGGGUGGCACCGCGGCUCCCCGGGCAGCAGCCGGCCCUCUGCCCCCUCCAGAGCCCGGCGCCAGCGGCUGCUGGCCGGGCCUCAGGGCUGUGCGGGCAGGGGAGGCCGGGGCUGGGCUGGCGGCCAGCCCGGGCCCUCGUGGCUGCCCAGGCCACAGUGCCGUGACCGAGGGUCCCCUGACACCGUGGGGAGGGCGGCCGUGUCUCCUCGAGCAGGGCUGUGGAGGUGCUGCUGUCCCGGCGGCUCUGGAUCCCACAGAAACAGCACCGGAACACGCACGAGAACAGCAAGUCUGCGAGCACUUCCCCUGGCUGCUCCUUUAGUGUGUUCACAACACACUGAGAGACACAGAACACCACCUGCUUCUCCUCUAAGAGUUAUCCCUUUCCUCUGCAUUUCCCAAUGCACCAGAUAUUAGCUGCUGGCUUUAGCUAGACACACAAACAGUGCUGCAUUAAACUUUGGACUUGGCUGUUUUUCUGUUCCAGAAUGCUUUAAAAAUGCGCAGAAAAGUCCAGGGAGACAUGACUGUGUCUCUGUCCUGUGAAAAUCAAUAGCUGUUGGUGCUUUUGUGUU